UGGGGAAUAUUGGACAAUGGGCGAAAGCCUGAUCCAGCCAUGCCGCGUGUGUGAAGAAGGUCUUCGGAUUGUAAAGCACUUUAAGUUGGGAGGAAGGGCAUUAACCUAAUACGUUAGUGUUUUGACGUUACCGACAGAAUAAGCACCGGCUAACUCUGUGCCAGCAGCCGCGGUAAUACAGAGGGUGCAAGCGUUAAUCGGAAUUACUGGGCGUAAAGCGCGCGUAGGUGGUUUGUUAAGUUGGAUGUGAAAGCCCCGGGCUCAACCUGGGAACUGCAUCCAAAACUGGCAAGCUAGAGUACGGUAGAGGGUGGUGGAAUUUCCUGUGUAGCGGUGAAAUGCGUAGAUAUAGGAAGGAACACCAGUGGCGAAGGCGACCACCUGGACUGAUACUGACACUGAGGUGCGAAAGCGUGGGAGCAAACA
Molecule: ribosomal RNA, 426 nt
Filed under: uncultured bacterium
Lineage: Bacteria
Description: partial 16S ribosomal RNA
Rfam family: Bacterial small subunit ribosomal RNA
Source: RNAcentral